RNAcentral lists this ribosomal RNA (254 nucleotides) under uncultured bacterium. Its description in RNAcentral is "partial 16S ribosomal RNA". It matches the Rfam family "Bacterial small subunit ribosomal RNA", at positions 524 to 776 of the family's 1533-position model. The record is from RNAcentral.
UACGAAGGGUGCAAACGUUGCUCGGAAUUAUUGGGCGUAAAGCGCACGUAGGCGGCAUUGCAAGUCGGAUGUGAAAUCCCUCGGCUUAACCAAGGAAGUGCAUCCGAAACUGCAGUGCUUGAGUACUUAAGAGGAUCGCGGAAUUCCCGGUGUAGAGGUGAAAUUCGUAGAUAUCGGGGAGGAACACCAGUGGCGAAGGCGGCGAUCUGGGAAGAUACUGACGCUGAGGUGCGAAAGCGUGGGGAGCAAACAGG